GAUGAACGCUAGCGGGAGGCCUAACACAUGCAAGCCGAGCGGUAUUUCUUCUUCGGAAGAGAGAGAGCGGCGCACGGGUGCGUAACACGUGUGCAACCUACCUUUAUCUGGGGGAUAGCCUUUCGAAAGGAAGAUUAACACCCCAUAAUAUAUUGAAUGGCAUCACUUGAUAUUGAAAACUCCGGUGGAUAAAGAUGGGCACGCGCAAGAUUAGAUAGUUGGUGAGGUAACGGCUCACCAAGUCAAUGAUCUUUAGGGGUCCUGAGAGGGAGAUCCCACACACUGGUACUGAGACACGGACCAGACUCCUACGGGAGGCAGCAGUGAGGAAUAUUGGACAAUGGGUGAAAGCCUGAUCCAGCCAUUCCGCGUGAAGGAUGACGGUCCUAUGGAUUGUAAACUUCUUUUGUACAGGAAUAAACCUACUCUCGUGAGAGUAGCUGAAGGUACUGUACGAAUAAGCACCGGCUAACUCCGUGCCAGCCGCCGCAGUAA
This 495-nucleotide ribosomal RNA is filed under the name uncultured bacterium. RNAcentral's name for it is "partial 16S ribosomal RNA". It matches the Rfam family "Bacterial small subunit ribosomal RNA", at positions 28 to 523 of the family's 1533-position model. The record is from RNAcentral.